GUUCCAGUGAAAUAAAAGGCGAUACGGAACGUCUUUGUGUGGACUACCGAAAGCUCAACGUGGUCACGGUUCGGAUUCUCUGCCCAGCUGAUCACGGACAACACCACGUGCUUCUGCAGCAAGGUGUUCACGGAUUCCUGUGACAUCCUGGGAAUUCGUCACAAGAGCACGUGUGUGUAUUACCCACAGCCCAACGUCAUGACAAAGGGGAAAGGUGCCCUGGCUGCCAGAAAGGAUGGAUGCUGUCACCCCAGCUGGACUAUUGCUGCUGCCCGAGAAUCAUGGUCGCUGCAUAGUUGUCUCGUGUCCUUGCGCCUGGGGCCACUCGUGGCCUGGGCCGGCCCGGGCUUAUGCCGCGUUUAGUUAAAUAAAUAAAUUGUUGUUUGUUUUGA
Long non-coding RNA from Rhipicephalus microplus (southern cattle tick), 392 nucleotides. The record is from RefSeq and is a predicted model, not a curated record. NCBI's taxonomy places the organism in Eukaryota, Metazoa, Arthropoda, Arachnida, Ixodida, Ixodidae.